GAUGAACGCUGGCGGCGUGCCUAAUACAUGCAAGUCGAGCGAACAGACGAGGAGCUUGCUCCUCUGACGUUUGCGGCGGGCGGGAGUGUAACACGUGGAUAAUCUACCUAUAAGACUGGUAUAUCUUCGGGACACCGGCUCUAAUAGCGUAUAAUAUAUUGAAGCGUGUGGUUGAAUAGUGAGAUUCGGCUUUGCUGUCACGUAUCGAUGGUUCCGCGCCUCAUUAGAUAGUUGGUAAGGUAACGGCUUACCAAGGCAACGAUGCGUAGCCGAACUGGGGGGGGGAUAGCCCACCCGGGAAGUUGGACACGCACCAGACUCCUACGGGAGGCACCAGAAGGGAACCUUAGGCAAUGGGGGAAAGCCUGACGGAGCAACCCCGGGUGUGUGAUAAAGGUCUUCGGUUCGUAAAAACCUGUUAUUAGGGAAAAACAGCUGUGUAAGGAACCAUGCACGUCGUGACGGUAACUAAUCAGAAAGCCACGGCUAACUACGUG
This 497-nucleotide ribosomal RNA is filed under the name uncultured bacterium. Its description in RNAcentral is "partial 16S ribosomal RNA". It matches the Rfam family "Bacterial small subunit ribosomal RNA", at positions 28 to 507 of the family's 1533-position model. The record is from RNAcentral.